This 256-nucleotide long non-coding RNA is filed under the name Elaeis guineensis (African oil palm). Its description in RNAcentral is "long non-coding RNA (EGUI_LNC068348)". Lineage: Eukaryota; Viridiplantae; Streptophyta; Magnoliopsida; Arecales; Arecaceae. The record is from RNAcentral.
UAUGACCAGGAUACCAACUCCUUGAGAUGAUUCUUUCUUCAAAAUUCUCACUAUGAUAAUUUUCUUGGGCACCAGGACCUCAAGACUCUCUUUCUCUUCUCCUAGCCUUCCUAUCCCUAUCUUUCUUCUCUCCUUAUCUUCCUUAAUUCUCUUCCUAGGCUCUUGUCCUAAAAUCAGACUUGUCCUUACUAUUUUUGGACUUAUUCUAACAGGAGAAGGAAAAGACUAAUUGGAUAAUAGGGAGAGUGUGUAAGAA